GAUGAACGCUAGCGGCAGGCCUAAUACAUGCAGGUCGGACGGGAUUCAGGAGCUUGCUUCUGAUGAGAGUGGCGCACGGGUGCGUAACACGUAUGUAACCUACCUUUAUCAGGGGGAUAGCCUCUCGAAAGAGAGAUUAAGCCCGCAUAAAAUCACAGCACAGCAUUGUGUAAUGAUCAAAUAUUUAUAGGAUAAAGAUGGGCAUGCGGAACAUUAGCUAGAUGGCGGGGUAACGGCCCACCAUGGCGACGAUGUUUAGGGGAUCUGAGGGGAUGGCCCCCCACACUGUGACGGAGACCCGGACCAGAGAGCUACGGGAGGCAGCAGUAAGGAAUAUUGGUCAAUGGGCGGAAGCCUGAACCAGCCAUGCCGCGUGCAGGAAGACCGCCCUGCGGGUUGUAAACUUCUUUUAUACGGGAAUAAACCCAGAUACGUGUAUCUGGCUGAAUGUACUGUAAGAAUAAGGAUCGGCUAACUCCGUG
This 482-nucleotide ribosomal RNA is filed under the name uncultured bacterium. Its description in RNAcentral is "partial 16S ribosomal RNA". It matches the Rfam family "Bacterial small subunit ribosomal RNA", at positions 28 to 507 of the family's 1533-position model. The record is from RNAcentral.